GGUUCAAAGGCCACAUUAGAAAUGAACACCUAAUUAAUUGGAUUUGGAAAAACCUGAGAAAUCAAACACACUGCAUGACCGGGUGUGUGAUCAGCCCCCUCCUUACUACUUAAAUCAAACACACUGCAUGACCGGGUGUGUGAUCAGCCCCCUCCUUACUACUUAAAUCAAACACACUGCAUGACCGGGUGUGGGAUCAGCCCCCUCCUUACUACUUAAAUCAAACACACUCCAUGACCGGGUGUGGGAUCAGCCCCCUCCUUACUACUUAAAUCAAACACACUGCAUGACCGGGUGUGUGAUCAGCCCCCUCCUUACUACUUAAAUCAAACACACUGCAUGACCGGGUGUGUGAUCAGCCCCCUCCUUACUACUUAAAUCAAAGACACUGCAUGACCGGGUGUGUGAUCAGUCCCCUCCUUACUACUUAAAUCAAACACACUGCAUGACCAGGUGUGUGAUCAGUCCCCUCCUU
This 475-nucleotide long non-coding RNA is filed under the name Homo sapiens (human). RNAcentral's name for it is "HSALNT0395401". The record is from RNAcentral. Lineage: Eukaryota; Metazoa; Chordata; Mammalia; Primates; Hominidae.